This 497-nucleotide ribosomal RNA is filed under the name uncultured bacterium. Its description in RNAcentral is "partial 16S ribosomal RNA". It matches the Rfam family "Bacterial small subunit ribosomal RNA", at positions 28 to 507 of the family's 1533-position model. The record is from RNAcentral.
GAUGAACGCUGGCGGCGUGCCUAAUACAUGCAAGUCGAGCGAACAGAUGAGGAGCUUGCUCCUCUGACGUUAGCGGCGGACGGGUGAGUAACACGUGGAUAACCUACCUAUAAGACUGGGAUAACUUCGGGAAACCGGAGCUAAUACCGGAUAAUAUAUUGAACCGCAUGGUUCAAUAGUGAAAGACGGUUUUGCUGUCACUUAUAGAUGGAUCCGCGCCGCAUUAGCUAGUAGGUAAGGUAACGGCUUACCAAGGCAACGAUGCGUAGCCGACCUGAGAGGGUGAUCGGCCACACUGGAACUGAGACACGGUCCAGACUCCUACGGGAGGCAGCAGUAGGGAAUCUUCCGCAAUGGGCGAAAGCCUGACGGAGCAACGCCGCGUGAGUGAUGAAGGUCUUCGGAUCGUAAAACUCUGUUAUUAGGGAAGAACAAAUGUGUGUGUAACUAUGCACGUCUUGACGGUACCUAAUCAGAAAGCCACGGCUAACUACGUG